Amphimedon queenslandica is the source of this 393-nucleotide long non-coding RNA. RefSeq lists it as uncharacterized. The transcript has 3 exons. The record is from RefSeq and is a predicted model, not a curated record. Lineage: Eukaryota; Metazoa; Porifera; Demospongiae; Haplosclerida; Niphatidae.
UAAAGAGAGAUCAGAAAUACAAGAGGCAGAGGAAGCAAGGUUGAAGAGGAUUAGGGAAUACAACAUUCAGCAUGGACAUAGAUAUUGGAAAUGAAAUGGAUUGUUUCAAUUUCUAAGCAUCAUUUUAAUUUUUACUUUUUAAUUGCAAUCCUGCAAAACUCCAUUUGUUGAUAGUCCCCACAGUGAGUUAGCUAUAUCCACAUGAUCACAUUUACUAAUAUCAAAUGAAAAGGACUCAAUCUCUCCAUCAUCUCUCCUCAUAACUGGCAACCAUUUGGAGCUAAGGAAUAUGAGAAUGAUAAUUAUUAUUAGUAAUUAUACCAUAAUUCAAUGUAAUACUGUAUAGUGUGGAUCUACUUUAGUGAGGGAUUUUACUUUGGCUCUGAAAUCACU